RNAcentral lists this microRNA precursor (156 nucleotides) under Podarcis lilfordi (Lilford's wall lizard). The record is from RNAcentral. Lineage: Eukaryota; Metazoa; Chordata; Lepidosauria; Squamata; Lacertidae.
GCCGCUGAGUGGGGAGGAGAGAGGGACAGAGAGCCUGCUUCUUUAAAGGAGCAAAGCGGGAGAGGAGGGGAGCCGCUUACACGAGUGUAAGCGGCUCCUGUCCGGUUGGUUCCUUUAAAGCAAGCAGGCUUUCUGUCCCUCCUCCCCACUCAGCUC